RNAcentral lists this long non-coding RNA (2675 nucleotides) under Xyrichtys novacula (pearly razorfish). The record is from RNAcentral. Lineage: Eukaryota; Metazoa; Chordata; Actinopteri; Labriformes; Labridae.
AAAAAUGCAAAAUGGCUCCAUAGCGCCCCCUAAGGUGAAAAUUCACAUGACGGCUGUACGCUUUGUCAAAAUGACACAAAAAUUGACACACACAUGUAUCUCAAUAAGAUCUACAAAAAAGUCAGCGCGGGCGUAUCUGUCAAAUGUACGGUUAAUGGGUUAUUUCGCAUUUUUUGCAGAUCUGCACACAUUGGAAUUUCGCUAACUCUUCCGAAGGCUUUCGUUCGACCGGCACCACAUUUGCGCAGGCCAAUCUACCUCCCAUGGCCAUUCAAAGUUGUACAAAUCAUGACGCUGCACCCCACGGUUUAGGUUCUAGAGGGCGCCAAAGAUAACCCAAAAAUCCACAGUCUUAAAAGUCUUAUAACUUUUUAUUUUUGUCCUCACUGGCAUCCAAGUUCUCUAGGAUGAUGCAAUGUCCAGCCAUCAACACAUUUGUGAAGGAAUUUUUACUCCCCAAAAGAGCGCCCCCCCAUGGCAGGAGAAAAAAGUCCAUUUUUUCUUGUCCCCUAACAUGAAAAUACACAUUGUUGAGUGUCACGCCUGAACACUUUGUCAUAUUGACACAAAAUUUGACAAUCACGUGUAUCUCAAUAAGAUCUACGAAAAAGUCAAAGAGCGCGUAUCUGUAUAAUGUACGGUAAAAGGGCUAUUUCGCAUUUUUUGCCGAUUCGCACACAUUGGAAUGUGGCCAACUCCUCCUAAGGCUUUCGUCCCACUGACACCAAAUUUGCUCAGGCCAAUCUACAACCCAUGGCCAUUCAAAGUUGUAAAAAUCAUGACGCUGCACCCCACGGUUUAGGUUCUAGGGGGCGCCAAAGAUGACCCAAAUAUACAUUACAGCAGACAAAGUAGUUUUGCCCACUGAGUGGCGCCAAAGGGACUUGUCUAUUGAGUCUGGAAGUCACUAUUGGCCGUUUUUGACUACUUUAGAUUUUACCUUUAUAUUUCCUCUUAAAUUUUUUUUACCUUGCCUUGCCUGGUAUCAUUUUUUUCAGCACAACCUCACCUGUGUGAAUUUACAGUUAUUUUAUCAUUUUGACAUACUGUAUUUACACAAUGGACCAAAAUUCACACACAAAACAUAAAAUCCGAGUGGAAAAAAGUAACAUUUUUACUGUGAAAACCACAAAUAUGUGUGAUGAACUGUUUUUAAAACUUAAACUUCAAAUAAAAAUUGUAAACUUCAAAACAUAUGCAAAUUUUUAACAAAGAACAUAGUAAUUUACCUCUAUUUACAUCAAAAUGCAGGCAAUGGCCCAGGUGUUCUUUGUAAAAUUAUUUACAAAACACUGUAUAGUCUCACAAAUGUCACUUUUAUUUAUGCCACUACAAAAAAUCAUGAUGUAAAUGAUGCAUGAUGUAAAACAUGAUGUAAAAAACUUGUGUAGAUCCUCCUCUAUGUUAGUCCAUGUGUAAUUUUUCCAUAAUUCUUUGUUUUUUGCAGCAUUUUUGUUAGUGUAACUGCAGAUUGUGCUGACAGUGUCUAUGGCAAAAAAAAAAAAAAACUGAAAAUGCCUCAACAUGAACCCCUGGUGGUCUCUGAGGGUGAAACCUGCUAACUGCUGCAGAUCUGUCAGCUUCAUGCAGAGCUCGGAGCACAUGUGUGGCUCUGCACCAUUAGCAGCGUUGCUAACUCCUCAGUAAGGAAAGCCUGCUUCAUGUCUGAGUCUCUAAACUCCAGAAGAAGUCGAUAAAAGUCCCUUUCUUUCUAAAAAAAAAAGGCGUUAGGUGGUCUGAAAAGUCAUUGAAUCUAACAACAAAGUCGCUAGGUUUGCAACUACGUGUCCCAGACUGCAUCCCUGCUGAGAGUCCCUCCCUCCCUUCUCAUGUUGCAGGAAGACCGUAAGCGCCCGCCCCUUGUCAAUCAGUCACCAUAUAAUUUUGGAUUGGUUGUUGUGGUGAAGUUUUCCACCAAUAGGAGAGAUGUUGUGGUGUGUUUUUUUUUCUUUUGGCAAGCCUUUUCCGCCUGUAAGACCUGUCGCUAAUGUCUGCAUGCUAUGGUUUCCUGUCUCAUACAGCGCGAUCGAGCGCCGAACGUGAUCAAAAUAAGCAGAAAAAAAGUAUCGCAGACAUAAUUUAUCAUAACUCUGGUUUUAUUUGGCCUAUCAACACAAUUUAAAAACUGGUAUAUAGUUUAAGGUCCUCACUUUGGAGAUACGUUGAAACGGAGAGUCAACGAGGCUCCAUCUUGCAGCUACAUCCGGUUAAAUAUGUCAUGUGACUUGAACGCUGGGGAGCGUCAAUCGACUGCAGAGCCAGCAGACAAAGUAGUUAUGGCCAUUGAGAGGCACACAUUUGUCACAUGCUAUAAUCCUAACAUAUUUUAAUGCUUUUUCUAUUUAAACCUAAUGGAUCUAAGGUUUGAGCUUCAAAAUUUAGGAAGAAUAUGUUUUUGCAGUAAUGACCCCCUUAAACAACCAGAGGUCCUUUCCUAAAGUUUAUGGAAAUUUUAGUGAAGGCCUUGGUUUCUGUCCUUGCAAAAUGCAUAGAAAUAAUAAAGCUAAAUACCAUAAAAUGGUCUUGGCGUAUUAGCAGUGAUAUAAAAUAGUGGUUUGAAUAUGAAUGAACAACAAAAAAAAACAUCAACAGAGCCUUUUUGUGUUGGGAUUCUUUCAUUCUUACACAAAAACAGACAUAGACAGACAUCUAAAGGGUAAGGGAAUGAUCAGCCC